Molecule: ribosomal RNA, 1248 nt
Filed under: soil metagenome
Description: bacterial LSU rRNA
Rfam family: Bacterial large subunit ribosomal RNA
Source: RNAcentral
AGGUGUGCCGCGAGGCAUGCUGGAGGUAUCGGAAGUGCGAAUGCUGACAUGAGUAACGAUAAUGCGGGUGAAAAACCCGCACGCCGAAAACCCAAGGGUUCCUGCGCUACGUUAAUCGGCGCAGGGUUAGUCGGCCCCUAAGGCGAGACCGAGAGGUGUAGUCGAUGGGAAGCAGGUCAAUAUUCCUGCACCGCUUGCUACUGCGAUGAGGGGACGGAGGAGGCUAGGUUAGCCGGGCGUUGGUUGUCCCGGUUUAAGCGUGUAGGGAGUGCUCUUAGGCAAAUCCGGGAGUGCAAUCUCGAGACGCGAUGACGAGCCCCUUUUUAGGGGCGAAGUGACCGAUGCCAUGCUCCCAGGAAAAGCCUCUAAGCUUCAGGUAGCGAGUGACCGUACCGUAAACCGACACAGGUGGGUAAGGAGAGAAUCCUAAGGCGCUUGAGAGAACUCGGGUGAAGGAACUCUGCAAAAUAGUACCGUAACUUCGGGAGAAGGUACGCCUUCUUCGGUGAAGAGCUUCGCGCUCGGAGCCUUUGAAGGCCUCAGAAAAUAGGUGGCUGCGACUGUUUACUAAAAACACAGCACUCUGCAAACACGUAAGUGGAAGUAUAGGGUGUGACGCCUGCCCGGUGCCGGAAGGUUAAUUGAUGGGGUUAGCUCUUCGGAGCGAAGCUCUUGAUCGAAGCCCCGGUAAACGGCGGCCGUAACUAUAACGGUCCUAAGGUAGCGAAAUUCCUUGUCGGGUAAGUUCCGACCUGCACGAAUGGCGUAACGAUGGCCACACUGUCUCCAUCCGAGACUCAGUGAAGUUGAAAUCGCUGUGAAGAUGCAGUGUACCCGCGGCUAGACGGAAAGACCCCGUGAACCUUUACUAUAGCUUUGCACUGAAUUCUGAACCUGUCUGUGUAGGAUAGGUGGGAGGCUGUGAAGCGGAGACGCUAGUCUUCGUGGAGCCACCGUUGAAAUACCACCCUGAUAUGUUUGGAGUUCUAACCUAGGCCCGUUAUCCGGGUUGGGGACAGUGCAUGGUGGGUAGUUUGACUGGGGCGGUCUCCUCCCAAAGAGUAACGGAGGAGCACAAAGGUACCCUCAGCGCGGUCGGACAUCGCGCAGUGAGUGCAAAGGCACAAGGGUGCUUGACUGCGAGACAGACAAGUCGAGCAGGGACGAAAGUCGGUCUUAGUGAUCCGGUGGUUCUGUAUGGAAGGGCCAUCGCUCAACGGAUAAAAGGUACUCCGGGGAUAACAGGCU